RNAcentral lists this transfer RNA (65 nucleotides) under Biston panterinaria. RNAcentral's name for it is "tRNA-Pro". The record is from RNAcentral. RNAcentral also lists the same sequence under 1 other name. Lineage: Eukaryota; Metazoa; Arthropoda; Insecta; Lepidoptera; Geometridae.
CAAAGAAUAGUUUAAAAAAAAUUAUAAUUUUGGAGAUUAUCGAUAAAGAGUUUCUUUUUCUUUGA